AAUAAGUGUAGUUUUAGCACUAUUCAUGUUCAACAUUUGACCGUUCGUCUUAUUUAAAAAAAGAUUAUGAUUAGUAUUUUUUGUUGUUAUUAGAUGAUAAAACAUGAAUAGCACUUUAUGUGUGACUAAUUUUUAAAAUAUUUUUUAUAAAUUUUUCAAAUAAGACGGAUGGUCAAAGCGCUAAACAUGGAUCUUUAUGGCUGUAUUUAUU
Non-coding RNA from Oryza barthii, 211 nucleotides. The record is from Rfam. Lineage: Eukaryota; Viridiplantae; Streptophyta; Magnoliopsida; Poales; Poaceae.